RNAcentral lists this ribosomal RNA (252 nucleotides) under uncultured bacterium. Its description in RNAcentral is "partial 16S ribosomal RNA". It matches the Rfam family "Bacterial small subunit ribosomal RNA", at positions 524 to 776 of the family's 1533-position model. The record is from RNAcentral.
UACAGAGGUCUCAAGCGUUGUUCGGAUUCAUUGGGCGUAAAGGGUGCGUAGGCGGCGCGGUAAGUCGGGUGUGAAAUCUCGGAGCUUAACUCCGAAACUGCAUUCGAUACUGCCGUGCUUGAGGACUGGAGAGGAGACUGGAAUUUACGGUGUAGCGGUGAAAUGCGUAGAUAUCAGGAGGAACACCGGUGGCGAAGGCGGGUCUCUGGGCCGAUAUCGACGUGAGGAGCGAAAGUGUGGGGAGCGAACAGG